AUGUCCGGGCCAGCGCCCUGGUACAUCUUGGCGAUGAUGGGGUUGCAGACGCCCUCCAGCUCCUUCAUCUUGUCCUCCAACUCGUCCGCCUCCGCCAGCUGGUUGGCGUCGAGCCAGCCGAUGGCGCCGUCGAUCGCCUCCUCGAUCCUCUUCUUGUCGUCGGCGGGGAGCUUGGACGCGAUCUUGUCGUCCCUGACGGUGUUCCUCAUGUUGUAG
Molecule: ribosomal RNA, 216 nt
Filed under: Triticum aestivum (bread wheat)
Lineage: Eukaryota; Viridiplantae; Streptophyta; Magnoliopsida; Poales; Poaceae
Description: partial small subunit ribosomal RNA
Source: RNAcentral